This 24-nucleotide unclassified non-coding RNA is filed under the name Mus musculus (house mouse). RNAcentral's name for it is "oocyte_clustered_small_RNA13039". Lineage: Eukaryota; Metazoa; Chordata; Mammalia; Rodentia; Muridae. The record is from RNAcentral.
CAGGUCGGUCUUGGACAGCUGCAG